AUUCUAUACAUUCUAAAAAAAAAUUGUCACUAUUCAGUAUAAGAUCUGCUUAAUCAUAUGAAACUAUUUACAUCUUUACUUAUUUCACUAAAGUGCUAGUUUGGAUUGACUCAUACUAAAGGAUAUGAGCAACAAUUACCCAAGUUUUCUACUGAUUUCUUUUUUCUACAUUACUUUGUGUUAUUUAAUCAUAUAAUGUUUACAUUGUUCAUAUGAAAACUAUUUGAAAUACGAUAUAUUUCAAUGAUCUGUCUCCGAUCAUGAACCAUCCCAUCAUGCUUACCUUAAUAGAAUACCAUGGAUGUCACAAAUUUAAUUAAAGUGACAUGUUUAUUAGUGUGUCUGAAUCAAAAUCAAAUUUAUGUGCCUUUGAACCAUUCCCAGAAGUUUAAGCGUUGAAAAUUAUUUCAGUGAGAUAGGUUCUGAAUAUGCAUGAUCUAGUAUUCUAGAUGCCACUAAAUGUUAAGCAAUCAACAAUCAAUCAAUCAAUGUGGCAAUCUUCAUCAAUAACUUUCUAAAUUCCCCUUUACAUGUCAUACUAUCAGAAGACUGCAACAAAAGACAUUAUAUCAUCAUUGAAAGUUGGUAUCUUUGUAUGUACUUUGGGAGGAUCAUAACAGGAACUUUAAUUUUGAGAACAUGGUUUUAAUCAUUUAAAAAGUAAAGUUAAAAAUCAUAGACUUAAGAAAUGGCUUAAAUCAUUUAAUUAGGGCAAUAACAAUCAAUCAUGUUAAAAGAUGGAUAAUAUAAGAUAAGUUGUAUAAUGUAAAUAUUUUUUUUAUGACUAUCUGUAAGUCUUCCUUCGUAAGUGGCUAUUUAUGCCACUAAAAAUCAGUUUGCAGUUAAUUAUUGUAUGUCAAAUUAUUUUUUUUAAUAUUGCAUACAAUUUAUGUGUGUUAAACUUGACACAGUUAAAGUCAUUAUUAGGUCAACAGC
RNAcentral lists this long non-coding RNA (936 nucleotides) under Mytilus galloprovincialis (Mediterranean mussel). Lineage: Eukaryota; Metazoa; Mollusca; Bivalvia; Mytilida; Mytilidae. The record is from RNAcentral.